AAAACAACUCAAAAUACUCCCAAACGCACUCAAAACACCUUCAAACACACCCAAACACACUCAAAACAUUCCCAAACACACUCAAACAUACCUAAACACACCCCAAAAUACCUCAAAAUACCUUAAAAAAACAUCCCAAAUAUAUCUUCAUAAAACACUUGAACACACACAUGGCUACCCAUCACUAAAACUCAACCCACCCAUCUCUUAAACACAAGGAUAUCCCAUUUAAAACACCCAUUCCUACACCUCCAUUCCUACCCAUUCCAGCUCCAGUCAGCUUUUCCCCCAAUCCUGUGCCUUCCAGUCAGUUCUGCCUUAUUCCAGCUCAAUUCCAGUCUCUUUUGCUGUAUUCCUGUUAAAUUCCAGUCAGUUUUGGCCCAUUUCCACCCAUUCCUGUUAGAUUUUCCUGUAUUCCCAAUCCAUUCCAGUCUUGCUUCCCUCUAUUUCCAGUCUGCUUAUCCCCAUUCCAGCGCCAUCUACCCCAAUUCCAGUACCCCCCAAUUUCUCCCCAUCUCAGCCUAUCACUGCUACACCCAACUUUAAAACACUGAUCCAAACACCCGUUUAACUGCCCUCCCCAACCCUCACACACCCCUCAACACACACACACACACACACACACACACACACACAAAGAUACCAAUAAACACACCUAAAAUAUUUUAAAACACACAAAAAACACUAGAUACACAUCUAAACACACCCAAGACAGCUUCAGGCACACUCAAAACACCCCAAAAUUUACCCAAAACACCGCAUAACUUACCCAGACACCCCCAGGACCCCCAAACACCCCACCAUGCCUCUCUCAAUCACCAGUCACCACCACCUCAGCCUCACCAUCAACAUGUACAGCAAGGAAGGCGCAGGGGACUCGGGCCCUGACAGACACCACACUGGGGACUACCUGGCACCCUUAGCUUCUGUAGAUCUGUCUCGUGUCAACACCCCUGGCGGAUCUCCCUCCCCAUGACCCGGCCAUCACCCCGCCCUUGAGGACCCCAAUUGGGAGCCCCCGGAGGACCAAGGGAUGUUGCUGAGGUCACACCUGAUUCCGGAAUCUUGACACCCCUUCAAGAUUCCGAGCCGUUUAACGAAGGGCCGCCCGACAGGUACUGCCUUGUGUUCCUGACCUUAGUUGUGCACGGAGUCUGAACACUGAUGCCUCGGAAUAUGUCAUCACUGCCAAGAACUUGCCAUUGGGAUCUUCCAGAACACAGUGUAUGGGACAGCUGCCCAUCUCCCAUUUAGCUACACGGUGGCGGUGGUGCUGGACUCGACACACUUCAGUCACAAGAUGAAUGCAGUCAGCUACAGCAUGACAUAGACAAGCUAUAGACAGUUGAGAGAGGAAGAAGUCAGUGGCACCCUCACCUCAGACAAGACAAAGCUAACAAUUGAUAAUGAAAGCGGUGCCAGAGAAGCGAUGCCUUCACCCACGCUGUGUUCACCACGAUGGAGGAGUGCCCACACUUCCAGGACCUUACUGUUAAGAGGUUCCUGAAGACCCUACUUGAGCACAACCGCCGAGACAUUCUCUCCAAGCCGGAGAAGUUUGUGCGCCUGAAGCCAGGGAGUGAUGCUGCUAAGACCUUCACUCUGUCUAUCCAGAGGGAUCCGCAGGUGCUGGUGGUGGAAUCUUGCUUGGACAGUGUGGAUGGCAAGCAGUCAGGGUUCCAGUCAAAGGUGGUGGUGAUCCAUGCCCAGGACACCAGGGAGGAUGCACUGCAGCUUGCAUCUCAGCUGAGGAAUCCCAUGGAGGGCAACAGAUUGUAUGUGUUGCUUCUGCAAGAGUCUAAGAAGAACACACAAGUUAAGAGCAGCCUGAGGUGUGAUCCAUGGAACAGCAUCCACAAGUGGUUCAUCAAGGUUGACGCUGUGCUGCCGGUACUGUCGCCUCAGCUUCUGCGUCAGAUUCAGAACAGAGACUUCAGCAGAGAGAGUGAGUGGGAGAAACGCUACAACUGCUUUGCCCACUCGAUGAUGCUAGACCAGCAUGUGGAGUACGGGAGCAAGAAUGGGUUCUGCCGUGCCGUUUGUCCUGCCAGAUUCCCGGAGGAGCGGUGCCUGAGAAGCGAUGCCUUCACCCACGCAGUUUUCACCACGAUGGAGGAGUGCCCACACUUCCAGGACCUUACUGUUAAGAGGUUCCUGAAGACCCUACUUGAGCACAACCGCCGAGACAUUCUCUCCAAGCUGGAGAAGUUUGUGCGCCUGAAGCCAGGGAGUGAUGCUGCUAAGACCUUCACUGUCUAUCCAGAGGGAUCCGCAGGUGCUGGUGGUGGAAUCUUGCUUGGACAGUGUGGAUGGCAAGCAGUCUCAUACUCAUUCGCUGACAGGAGGAACAAAUUAAAUUAGUUUUUAGCAGAUCUGAAGAUAAGGAAAUUCCUUGUGUUGUGAGAUGCCAUGAUUUUGCUUGGCAUAAGAGAAUAAGUUUACAUAUUUUCCAGUAAGAUGUUGAUGAUCCCUGUAGAAGUGACUUGCUUUGUAUUGCUUCCAGGAAGCAUUUAUUACCUAGAGAGAGCCUUCAUUAUUGGUUUGAUUCUUCCCACAGCUUGCAUCUCAGCUGAGGAAUCCCAUGGAGGGCAACAGAUUGUAUGUGUUGCUUCUGCAAGAGUCUAAGAAGAACACACAAGUUAAGAGCAGCCUGAGGUGUGAUCCAUGGAACAGCAUCCACAAGUGGUUCAUCAAGGUUGACGCUGUGCUGCCGGUACUGUCGCCUCAGCUUCUGCGUCAGAUUCAGAACAGAGACUUCAGCAGAGAGAUUCAGAACAGAGACUUCAGCAGAGAGAGUGAGUGGGAGAAACGCUACAACUGCUUUGCCCACUCGAUGAUGCUAGACCAGCAUGUGGAGUACGGGAUCAAGAAUGGGUUCUGCCGUGCCGUUUGUCCUGCCAGAUUCCCGGAGGAGGUUGGUGAUGCCUCCACUUGCAUGUCUUUUCUGUAUUUUGUAUAGACCUGUUUGUAUUUUACAGGAUUAAGUCAAGUUCUGUUUGGAUGUAUGUGACCAGCUGUGCUGUGUCUGACUGUCCUUUUCCACUAGGGACUGAUGGGGCUAAGAGUGUGAAUGAUGUCUGUGUGUGUGUGUGUGUGUGUGUGUGUGUGUGUGUGUGUGUGUGUGUGUGUGUGUGUGUGUGUGUGGGAUUGCCA
Molecule: RNA transcript, 3153 nt
Organism: Scylla paramamosain (green mud crab)
Lineage: Eukaryota; Metazoa; Arthropoda; Malacostraca; Decapoda; Portunidae
Exons: 11
Source: RefSeq, a predicted model, not a curated record